UACGUAGGUGGCAAGCGUUAUCCGGAUUUAUUGGGCGUAAAGAGAACGCAGGCGGUCUUUUAAGUCUGAUGUGAAAGCCUUCGGCUUAACCGGAGUAGUGCAUUGGAAACUGGUAGACUUGAGUGCAGGAGAGGAGAGUGGAAUUCCAUGUGUAGCGGUGGAAUGCGUAGAUAUAUGGAGGAACACCGGUGGCGAAAGCGGCUCUCUGGUCUGUAACUGACGCUGAGGCUCGAAAGCGUGGGUAGCGAACAGG
This 253-nucleotide ribosomal RNA is filed under the name uncultured bacterium. Its description in RNAcentral is "partial 16S ribosomal RNA". It matches the Rfam family "Bacterial small subunit ribosomal RNA", at positions 524 to 776 of the family's 1533-position model. The record is from RNAcentral.